RNAcentral lists this ribosomal RNA (1308 nucleotides) under Burkholderia mallei 2002721280. RNAcentral describes it as "16S ribosomal RNA". Lineage: Bacteria; Pseudomonadati; Pseudomonadota; Betaproteobacteria; Burkholderiales; Burkholderiaceae. The record is from RNAcentral.
AGGAACCAGACCUCGCGCGGAAAGCGCAACGCGAAGCGGUACAGCUGCUUCGCGACGCGUGCGGCGUGGCUCUGCUGGAUGAACACGUAGCCGAGGCCCGUCGUCACCGCGAUCGACGGCACGCGCGCGAGCCACGCGGCGAUCGAGCCGUAGAUGUUCGGCUUGAUCGUGUAAUGGAACACGAGGUCGGGCCGGAUCGCGCGGUAGUGCCGAUACAGCGCGAUGAGCGUGCGCAGGUCCUCGCGCGGGCUCGUGCCUUUCGAGGCGACGGGCAGCUCCGCGUAGCGGCAGCCCAUGCGCACGAGCGGCUCGACGGUGCGGUCGCGCGGCGCGAGCACGGUCACCUGCGCGCCGCGCGCGAUCAGCAUGCGAAGUAGGCCUUGCCGGUACGUAUAGAUCGCCCAGGCGGUAUUGCAGACGAGAACGAUGCGCGGGGCGGAAGCGGAACUCAUGUCGGACUGGAAAAAAAUCAUCGGAUGCGCGCGAACGUGACGGGGCGCGUCAUGCCGCGCCGCGCCGCGCGAACAGCAGGCGCUUCGCGCGCUGCAGCGUCGAGUACGGCGUGACGAAAUGCAGCAGGUUUUUCGCGACGCCGAGCCAAUCGCACGGAUUGAGCGGAUCGAAGUAGUGCAGCGCGAGCGCGAGCGUCGACGCGAUCUGCCGCCGCCGCUUCGUCGCGCUGAUGCCGCCCUCGUUCAAUUCGUAAUACAAGCCGAGCUCCGGCAGGUUCGCGCAAUCGUAGCGUUCCAUUAACCGUAAAAAAAGAUCGAGGUCUUCCGCCGCGCGAUAUUUGAUCCGAUAGUUGCCGACUUCCUUCACCGCCGCGAUGUCGAGCAUCAUCGAAGGAUGAACGAACGGCGAGCGCAGGAAGCGCGUGCGGCGCAGCGUCGCCGGAUCGGCGCUCGGCGUCAGCAUGAAGAGCGGCCGGCCGUCGCGCGAGACGACCUGCGUCCACGUGCCGAGGCCCGCGACGCUCGGGUGCGUGUCGAAGUACGCACGCUGCUUCGCGAGCCGGCCGGGCGCGGCGAGGUCGCCCGCGUCGAUGCGCGCCGCGUAGCGCACGCCGCGCGCGGCGAGCGCGUCGAUGCCGGCCGCGAGCGCGCGCUCGAUCCCGCCGUUUUGCGGCAUUCGCAGCACCUCGACCGACAGCCCGGGCAAUUCGGGCGCGGCGAUGGGCGGCGUGCUGCCGUCGUCGACGACGAGCACGCGCACCGGCGCGUCCUCGCGCAGCGACAUCAGCGUGCGCAGCAGAUCGUCGUGCGCGUUGUAGGCGGGGAUCAGCACGGCGACGUCGUCGAGCGCGCGGGC